This 217-nucleotide unclassified non-coding RNA is filed under the name soil metagenome. Its description in RNAcentral is "partial contains 5.8S ribosomal RNA, internal transcribed spacer 2, and large subunit ribosomal RNA". The record is from RNAcentral.
AACAUCGCGCACCUGCGGGAACCUGCGGAAGGAUCAUUACAGGACUCGCAAGACUCCUACAACCCUGUGAACCUACUAUACGAACGUUGCUUCGGCGGGUGCGCCCCGGGGAUUCGUUCCCGAGGCGCGUCAGCCCGCCGGCAGCCUACAAAUUCUGUUUCUUUGCGUUGGCAUCUCGAGAAAAAACAAAUAAGUUAAAACUUUCAACAACGGAUCU